This 582-nucleotide ribosomal RNA is filed under the name uncultured Arthrobacter sp. Its description in RNAcentral is "bacterial SSU rRNA". It matches the Rfam family "Bacterial small subunit ribosomal RNA", at positions 790 to 1368 of the family's 1533-position model. Lineage: Bacteria; Bacillati; Actinomycetota; Actinomycetes; Micrococcales; Micrococcaceae. The record is from RNAcentral.
GUAGUCCAUGCCGUAAACGUUGGGCACUAGGUGUGGGGGACAUUCCACGUUUUCCGCGCCGUAGCUAACGCAUUAAGUGCCCCGCCUGGGGAGUACGGCCGCAAGGCUAAAACUCAAAGGAAUUGACGGGGGCCCGCACAAGCGGCGGAGCAUGCGGAUUAAUUCGAUGCAACGCGAAGAACCUUACCAAGGCUUGACAUGGACCGGACCGCCGCAGAAAUGUGGUUUCCCCUUUGGGGCCGGUUCACAGGUGGUGCAUGGUUGUCGUCAGCUCGUGUCGUGAGAUGUUGGGUUAAGUCCCGCAACGAGCGCAACCCUCGUUCCAUGUUGCCAGCGCGUAAUGGCGGGGACUCAUGGGAGACUGCCGGGGUCAACUCGGAGGAAGGUGGGGACGACGUCAAAUCAUCAUGCCCCUUAUGUCUUGGGCUUCACGCAUGCUACAAUGGCCGGUACAAAGGGUUGCGAUACUGUGAGGUGGAGCUAAUCCCAAAAAGCCGGUCUCAGUUCGGAUUGGGGUCUGCAACUCGACCCCAUGAAGUCGGAGUCGCUAGUAAUCGCAGAUCAGCAACGCUGCGGUGAAUA